Molecule: long non-coding RNA, 6372 nt
Organism: Solanum pennellii
Lineage: Eukaryota; Viridiplantae; Streptophyta; Magnoliopsida; Solanales; Solanaceae
Exons: 5
Source: RefSeq, a predicted model, not a curated record
UUUUAAGACAUAAGCUUAUAUAUGUAAUAAUAAUAAAGUUCAUGUUGGACAUGGUUUGAAAUCUGCACAAUUUUAAUUUUGACACUUUAGAUUAGUGCUUCCGCAUCUUUUUAUAUUAUUUUACCUUGUAGAAAAAGGUAAUGCACGUGUGUGAGUGAGAGGUCACGUUUGAAAUUUGAAUUUAUUUUGCACGAAGAACAAUCUCAUUUUUGGGUUUUGUCUCAUUGAAAAUAAAUGUGGGAUGGGAAGAAAUGAUGAAGUCCAGAAUCUCAUCAUCGUAGAGAGAGUUAUUUAACUAAUCAAUCAUAUUGGUUCUGAUAAAAAAUACAAGCACCAAAAAUAGUAGUUUUUGUUUACCAUCUAUGUUGGACCAAAGAACAAAAACAACCAAGUUGAGAUUAAAUUUAAAUGACAUAAUAGUUUCUCCUUCUAGUGGCAAAAUUUUUUUCAGGGUCAAUAUCUCCUCGAAAAGUAGGCUCCAUCUAUUUCAUUUGCAUACACCAACUAACAAAAAGCACAUUGAGAUUCUAUUUUGGACAUUCCCUGUAUAUUUGAUUUCAACUUUUGCCCAAAUCAUUUUAUUCCCUUUUUUCUCGCCUUGGAUAAAGCAACCGUAUAUAUACAAUGAAAUGACGUAAAUUGACUAAUUUUCAUUAUUGAAAAAACAACCUUGCAAUGAGUUGAGUAUAAAUUACAACAAGGAUGUGACCUUCAGCAUAUGGGCUAGUGUAGAACUAGCUUCCCCUCCCUCCCUAGCCAGAAAUUUCACAAACUUUUUUGUCAUCCUAAGACACUAAAAGAUGGAAAAAAACUAGGACUAAAGAAAACAUUUUUGAAUUUUAACCAUUUGAAUACCUCUAUAACACCAAUUAAUUUUUUUUUGUAAAAGGUCACUCAAAUUCUUUCUUUUAUUCUAAGCUUUAUAUGGUGCGGUGUGAAGCAUAGGCUUUCAGUUAUUACUGAAGAAAUGUAUGUAUGAAACAAAAGAAAUGCUAGAAUUACCGCGUGGAGUGGUCCUUUAGCUUCACGUGCAUAUGAGAGAUGAGGUAAACUCUAGAAUUACAAUGGAACACUAUUUCAUUUGCAUACACCAACUAACAAAAAGCACAUUGAGAUUCUAUUUUGGACAUUCCCUAUAUAUUUGAUUUCAACUUUUGCCCAAAUCAUUUUAUUCCCUUUUUUCUCGCCUUGGAUAAAGCAACCGUACAUAUACAAUGAAAUGACGUAAAUUGACUAAUUUUCAUUAUUGAAAAAACAACCUUGCAAUGAGUUGAGUAUAAAUUACAACAAGGAUGUGACCUUCAGCAUAUGGGCUAGUGUAGAACUAGCUUCCCCUCCCUCCCUAGCCAGAAAUUUCACAAACUUUUUUGUCAUCCUAAGACACUAAAAGAUGGAAAAAAACUAGGACUAAAGAAAACAUUUUUGAAUUUUAACCAUUUGAAUACCUCUAUAACACCAAUUAAUUUUUUUUUGUAAAAGGUCACUCAAAUUCUUUCUUUUAUUCUAAGCUUUAAAUGGUGCGGUGUGAAGCAUAGGCUUUCAGUUAUUACUGAAGAAAUGUAUGUAUGAAACAAAAGAAAUGCUAGAAUUACCGCGUGGAGUGGUCCUUUAGCUUCACGUGCAUAUGAGAGAUUAGGUAAACUCUAGAAUUACAAUGGAACACUAUUUCAUUUGCAUACACCAACUAACAAAAAGCACAUUGAGAUUCUAUUUUGGACAUUCCCUAUAUAUUUGAUUUCAACUUUUGCCCAAAUCAUUUUAUUCCCUUUUUUCUCGCCUUGGAUAAAGCAACCGUACAUAUACAAUGAAAUGACGUAAAUUGACUAAUUUUCAUUAUUGAAAAAACAACCUUGCAAUGAGUUGAGUAUAAAUUACAACAAGGAUGUGACCUUCAGCAUAUGGGCUAGUGUAGAACUAGCUUCCCCUCCCUCCCUAGCCAGAAAUUUCACAAACUUUUUUGUCAUCCUAAGACACUAAAAGAUGGAAAAAAACUAGGACUAAAGAAAACAUUUUUGAAUUUUAACCAUUUGAAUACCUCUAUAACACCAAUUAAUUUUUUUUUGUAAAAGGUCACUCAAAUUCUUUCUUUUAUUCUAAGCUUUAAAUGGUGCGGUGUGAAGCAUAGGCUUUCAGUUAUUACUGAAGAAAUGUAUGUAUGAAACAAAAGAAAUGCUAGAAUUACCGCGUGGAGUGGUCCUUUAGCUUCACGUGCAUAUGAGAGAUUAGGUAAACUCUAGAAUUACAAUGGAACACUAUUUCAUUUGCAUACACCAACUAACAAAAAGCACAUUGAGAUUCUAUUUUGGACAUUCCCUAUAUAUUUGAUUUCAACUUUUGCCCAAAUCAUUUUAUUCCCUUUUUUCUCGCCUUGGAUAAAGCAACCGUACAUAUACAAUGAAAUGACGUAAAUUGACUAAUUUUCAUUAUUGAAAAAACAACCUUGCAAUGAGUUGAGUAUAAAUUACAACAAGGAUGUGACCUUCAGCAUAUGGGCUAGUGUAGAACUAGCUUCCCCUCCCUCCCUAGCCAGAAAUUUCACAAACUUUUUUGUCAUCCUAAGACACUAAAAGAUGGAAAAAAACUAGGACUAAAGAAAACAUUUUUGAAUUUUAACCAUUUGAAUACCUCUAUAACACCAAUUAAUUUUUUUUUGUAAAAGGUCACUCAAAUUCUUUCUUUUAUUCUAAGCUUUAAAUGGUGCGGUGUGAAGCAUAGGCUUUCAGUUAUUACUGAAGAAAUGUAUGUAUGAAACAAAAGAAAUGCUAGAAUUACCGCGUGGAGUGGUCCUUUAGCUUCACGUGCAUAUGAGAGAUUAGGUAAACUCUAGAAUUACAAUGGAACACUAUUUCAUUUGCAUACACCAACUAACAAAAAGCACAUUGAGAUUCUAUUUUGGACAUUCCCUAUAUAUUUGAUUUCAACUUUUGCCCAAAUCAUUUUAUUCCCUUUUUUCUCGCCUUGGAUAAAGCAACCGUACAUAUACAAUGAAAUGACGUAAAUUGACUAAUUUUCAUUAUUGAAAAAACAACCUUGCAAUGAGUUGAGUAUAAAUUACAACAAGGAUGUGACCUUCAGCAUAUGGGCUAGUGUAGAACUAGCUUCCCCUCCCUCCCUAGCCAGAAAUUUCACAAACUUUUUUGUCAUCCUAAGACACUAAAAGAUGGAAAAAAACUAGGACUAAAGAAAACAUUUUUGAAUUUUAACCAUCUGAAUACCUCUAUAACACCAAUUAAAUUUUUUUUUGUAAAAGGUCACUCAAAUUCUUUCUUUUAUUCUAAGCUUUAAAUGGUGCGGUGUGAAGCAUAGGCUUUCAGUUAUUACUGAAGAAAUGUAUGUAUGAAACAAAAGAAAUGCUAGAAUUACCGCGUGGAGUGGUCCUUUAGCUUCACGUGCAUAUGAGAGAUGAGGUAAACUCUAGAAUUACAAUGGAACACUAUUAAAAGUACUUGAGGACAGCAACGAUAGUACCAAAUGAGUGUCACAACAAUGCGGCCAAAUUUCGGUGAAGUUCCUUCUUCUGGAAAAGGAAAAGGAAGUAAGUAUAUUUAGGUAAAUCUUAAUUCUAGUUAACAGAAUAACAAAAUGAUACUCAAUUAAAAAUGUUUAAGUAAACCUCUAAAGUGAGAAGAAUAAAAACCUUGAAAAGCUCUAGAAGAGCAUUUUCACGAAGAUUAGGGUUGCAGAGAAAAAACACAAGUUGUUCCGCAGAUUGCAUUUUGUGACCCUUAUGGGUGGGGCUCUGACGCUGAAAGACAAUGAUGACAUACCACCUCCUCCUCUGAAGCUGCUGACACCGAUGGAGAAAGAUUGAGGUAAGUUUGCCAUUCUAAAGCCUCAAUUGAAUAUUUUAUCUUUUUCGUCCUUUCACUUACCCUAGUUGAUUUUCUCAUUUUUCUUUUGUUACCUGACUGUACAAAGACAAAAUUCACAGUUGGAUUAUUUUGAUAAAUAAAAUUCACCAUUUUGUUUAAAAUCGCAGCACCAUCAAUUCACCAUUUUAUUUAAAAUAUCUAAUUCAUCGUUCAUUGAUGUUGCCACAAUUUUAAAUAAAAUGGUGAAUUAUAUUUAUUAAAAUAAUUCAACGAUGAAUUUUAUCUUUUUCAGUUCGGGAAAAAAUAAAAAGGAGAGAAAAUAAAGUUGGGUAAAUGAAAGGACAAAAAAGAUAAAAACAUUCAAUUGAGGCUUUAGAAUGACAAACUUACCUCGAGCUUUCUCCGUCGGUGUCGGCAGCUUCGGAGGAGAAGGUGGUAUGUCAUCAUUGUCUUCGAGCGCCGGAGCACCCCUAAUAAGGAUAGCAGAAUGCUAUCCAUUGAACAACUUGUGUUUGUUCUUUAUGAUCCUAAUCUUCGUUAAAACGCUCUUCUAAAGCUUUUCAAGGCUUAUUCUUCUUACUUUAGAGAUUUACUUUGACAUUUUAGAUUGAGUAUAAUUUUGUCGUUUUGCUAAAUAGAAUUAAGAUUUAUCUAAAUAUAUUUAUUACCUUUGUUUUCCUUCUCCAGAAAAAAGAAUUGUUUCCGGAUUUGACCCCCUUGUUAUGACACUCAUUUGGUACUAUCGCUGCACUUCUACAUGUAUUUUGGGUAGUGUUACAUUGUAAUUCUAGAAUUUAUCUCAUCUGUCAUAUGCACAUGAAACUAAAGUACCACCCCACUGGUAUCUACUCUACACCAUUAAAAGUUAAGAAUAAAAUGAAACAUUUAAAUGACCUAUAUAGCAAAGCUAUCAAGACAACAUCUUCAUGGUUUUUCGAUUGGGGUUACUGUGAAUUUCAAAUGCUUAAAGUUGGAAAUAUCUCCUCGAGUCCUAGCUUUCACUCCUUAACCUCUUGUAGACUCUUAGGAUGAUUAAAGAGCAAGGGCGGAGCCACCUUGUCCCUAGGGUGUCUAAUUGGACACCAUUCGUCGAAAAUUAUAUGAUAUAUACACGUAAAGUUUUGACUUAUAUUGCAUAUAUGGUAUCUUGAAUCCCCUGAAAUAACAAAGUAACCCGCAAUGGAGAUGAUUGGAGCUGUCACAAGCCCACUCGCUGUCCUAGUUCGAUUCCCCAUGUAACACACCUAAGAUACUAGACCAUUAAUUACAUAUCCAUACAUUAUUAUAAUAUGUUUCAUUCUCAUUUUGGGGACUUGAAAUUUUGUGAUACUUGAAAACUUGCUUAAAAUAAAUUGUUUUUGUAAUUUAGCGUAUUGUAUGGGGGUAUUUGCGUAAUUUUCAAAUUAUAUUUACACAUAUAUUGGAGGUGUGGGUAUAAGGUAUAUAAAAAUGAAUAUAUAUAUAUGAUUUCUAGGCAGCCAACUAUUUUUAGGGGCAGCCCCUUUUGUUGACGUGUGUAGAGGUGAUGAGGAUCGUUUUGUAUCUAUAUAUUUUACACCUCCUUUGGUUGAUUUCGUUUUCCUGAAGUAUAAUAACAUUAAAACAUUAGCUAAACAGUUAUUCUGCAAAACCAAGAGAAAAACAAGCUCCUUUUGGGUGAAUUGGACACACAACUUUUGGUUGUAUAUACUCGUGAACAAGUUGAGGAUCUUCAUACGUUGGCUGGUCUAUGGUUUGAACUCUUGAAGUCGUGCUUGACUGUUUCUGUGCUAAAUCGUUGAGUCUGUAGCCUCUCAUCCUGACACCAGACAGUCGUUCCUCAAUGGUAGAUAACACUGAAGUUAUCAGUUUUCUUGUUUCUGCGGUGCUUGUGCACGAUGGAGAUGGGGAGUGAACUUUGAAAAGCAGUUGUGCCUUCCAUUGUGCAAAAAAUCCUUGUAGAUGAUUUGAGUCUGAAUUACAUCUGUACCACAUGGGAUAGGUUUUUUUGAAGUGGCUCAAAUUUUAGGGAAUAUGGUCGGUGCAGUUGCUGAGCAACCUUCAUCAACAUAAUCAGGUGCUAUAUGAGCCAAGGUUAAUUUUCUGUUUAUCACCAUCCCGAUUUUUCUUUCAGCUUGCUUAUGUGUGAUAAAUCACAGCCCUUUUUAAUUUGAUCUUUCUGUUUCUGUGAGGCUUAUGGCAGGGCAGUUGUCUUCGUGUAUGUAAUUAAUAUUUGGCCAUAUAAGUAGCAGCUCCCUCCUGAAUCAUGAAUUAUUCUUUUCUCGGCAUCAGACCCUUGUGGUUUUGUUAUCAGGAGGAUAUGAUAACGAGAAGGUGGCUGCAACAAUUGCUCCUUAACGUAAUGGAAAUCGGGUUGCUCUACUAGCAGGAACAUUUGAUUUCAGACCCGGAAAUCUUGUUUUUUCUACUUUGAUUAAGGAACAUAACAUAUUUUCCUGAUCUUUAAGACACUUGUUUUUAUUUACCAUAAAUUUAUCAAAAUAUUUGAUCAACUAAGCGAUUAUUGUAGAAUAUUUUUUAUUCAUACAAGACACAUUCAAAUCUAUGUCCCUUCAACGAA